Molecule: ribosomal RNA, 373 nt
Filed under: uncultured bacterium
Lineage: Bacteria
Description: bacterial SSU rRNA
Rfam family: Bacterial small subunit ribosomal RNA
Source: RNAcentral
UACGGAGGGUGCAAGCGUUAUCCGGAAUCACUGGGUUUAAAGGGUGCGUAGGCGGUCUUGUAAGUCAGUCGUGAAAUCGCUGGGCUCAACCCAUGCAAUUGCGAUUGAUACUGCUAGACUUGAAUGGGGUUAAGGCAGGCGGAAUGUGGCAUGUAGCGGUGAAAUGCUUAGAUAUGCCAUAGAACACCGAUUGCGAAGGCAGCCUGCUGGGCCUUUAUUGACGCUGAGGCACGAAAGCGUGGGGAGCAAACAGGAUUAGAUACCCUGGUAGUCCACGCCCUAAACGAUGUUUACUUGCUGUUUGCCCUUUGGGGUGAGUGGCGUAGCGAAAGCGAUAAGUAAACCACCUGGGGAGUACGCCGGCAACGGUGAA